GGGGGGGGGGGGGGGGGGGGGGGGGGGGUGGGAGUGGGGGGGGGGGACUGGGAGGUUGCGCCUGGGGCGGUAGGGGCGGGCGGGGGAGUGACGAGUGGAGCACGUGGCUGUGAGACUGGGGUCCCAUGUGGCGACCGCCGGCGGUCCGGGCUCAUCUAUUUAAUCGCAUUGUUCGCUAGUGCAAGAGGGCUUUGCUGCAUGUUGUCGUGGUCGCGUCGCCGCAUUAGCUAGUUGGUAAGGUAACGGCUUAACAAGGCGACGAUGCGUAGCCGACCUGAGAGGGUGAACGGCCACACUGGAACGGAGAAACGGUCCAGACUCCGACGGGAGGCAGCAGUAGGGAAUCUUCCGAAAUGGGCGAAAGCCUGACGGAGCAACGCCGCGUGAGUGAUGAAGGUAUUCGGAUCGUAAAACUCUGUUAUUAGGGAAGAACAAAUGUGUAAGUAACUAUGCACGUCUUGACGGUACCGAAUCAGAAAGCCACGGCUAACUACGUG
Molecule: ribosomal RNA, 497 nt
Filed under: uncultured bacterium
Lineage: Bacteria
Description: partial 16S ribosomal RNA
Rfam family: Bacterial small subunit ribosomal RNA (bases 108-497)
Source: RNAcentral